Molecule: long non-coding RNA, 653 nt
Organism: Manihot esculenta (cassava)
Lineage: Eukaryota; Viridiplantae; Streptophyta; Magnoliopsida; Malpighiales; Euphorbiaceae
Exons: 2
Source: RefSeq, a predicted model, not a curated record
AAUAUACGAAUCACGAAGUUAUAUAAUUUAAAAAAAAAACAUACAAAAUACUAAAUCACGCUCACGCGCUCUGCUCUGCAGCGAACCAUAUAUCCUCAGCAGAAUAAACGAACGCUUUAAGCGUCAAAGCCUUUCUAUACGGCGAGUGCAUCUGUAUACACCAGUAAAAUUAAGACACACAGAUGAAGCGGUGGACGGCGACUGUGGCGUCUGCCUGACUGAAUCCUCCAUGGUUAGCUUCGACGGCCAAAUUCCGGCGCUCGCAGUACACGUAGAAACAAUUCACGCAGUCUGAUUCUUCAGUUCGAGUAAAGUGAAUCAAAGCUUUUUACGCCUUGGAUUAGGCUUGGGUACUUCUGGAGCCCCUUCAGCGCCAUAGCAGUCAAGAGCUAUUACAAUCAACCUUCGUCGCCUCCUCAACAUGGGAUACUUGCUCAUGCCAGUCUCAUUCUUUCCACCUUCAGCAUCUUUUGGGCCAGCCUCUGGUUUCUUGAUCUUCCUCAUUACCUGGUUUACUUGAGCUUGUAUCUCCGGGUCACCUGCAGCUGCUGCUGAAUAGUCGAGUGAUUCAUUUAAUGAAGAUUUAUCGCCAUCAAUUGAGAGCCUAAGAGACAUAUCUUGCACAUCCUUCAGGGAAUCAUUGAGAGAUGACU